Molecule: unclassified non-coding RNA, 532 nt
Filed under: Hevea brasiliensis (rubber tree)
Lineage: Eukaryota; Viridiplantae; Streptophyta; Magnoliopsida; Malpighiales; Euphorbiaceae
Source: RNAcentral
AAAAAUAAUAAUGUCAGAUGGUAUGGUUAUUGUUGCCCAACUAUACAAAAGCUGAAGGAGUAUGGAAAAAGCAGACCGCUGUAUUGACAUCUAAAAUUUAUUCUAUUCAGGCAACAACUCUGUUAAUUGAAAAGACUGCCCUAAGUAACGAUUGUGACCAGCUACAGAAUGAAGUGCAAAGAUACUUUCUAGGAAAUUUGAUGUCAGUAAAACAGUGACUAUCGGAGAUCAGCUAAAUUCUGGAUUGAUUAGCAAAUGCACAUUAAGGAAAAACUUUUCUAAUAUAAAAAAUUGGAGGUGGAGAUCCACAAAUUAAAGAUCAGAGAUUAUUCGGCCCUAAAAAAGCGAGAAAUCAACCAUGUCACCAGCAAAUUCUCUCUUGUUAUUAGGGAAGGAGUAAUGGACAACAAGUGUGCAAAUGAUAUGGUAGAUCAUAAAAAAAUAUUCUAUGCAAUGGAUUACAGUCAAUAAAAAGUGAAUUCCAGUUAACACUAUAUUCUGACACAAGUUUAUCAAAAUCACAUUGUUUGAU